ACGAACGCUGGCGGCGCGCCUAACACAUGCAAGUCGAACGAGCGAGAGAGAGCUUGCUUUCUUGCGCGAGUGGCGAACGGGUGAGUAACGCGUGAGGAACCUGCCUCAAAGAGGGGGACAACAGUUGGAAACGACUGCUAAUACCGCAUAAGCCCACGACCCGGCAUCGGGUUGAGGGAAAAGGAGCAAUCCGCUUUGAGAUGGCCUCGCGUCCGAUUAGCUAGUUGGUGAGGUAACGGCCCACCAAGGCUACGAUCGGUAGCCGGACAGAGAGGUUGAACGGCCAUCGUUAGGCUGAGACACGGCCGAGACUCCAAAGGGAAGGAUCAGUGGGGAAUAUUGCACAAGGGGGGAAACCCUGAUGCAGUGACGCGGCGUGGAGGAAGAAGGUCUUAGGAUUGUAAACUCCUGUUGUUGAGGAAUAUAAUGACGGUACUCGAGAAGAAAGUGACGGCUAACUACGUG
This 465-nucleotide ribosomal RNA is filed under the name uncultured bacterium. RNAcentral's name for it is "partial 16S ribosomal RNA". It matches the Rfam family "Bacterial small subunit ribosomal RNA", at positions 29 to 507 of the family's 1533-position model. The record is from RNAcentral.